CACAAAGAAGUGAAGUAUUCAGAUCCAUCUAGCCCACUGUUUUUGAACUUAUGUCGAGUAAUCAGGUAAACAUGAUUGAGGUAGCAGACACGACAUCAGUAGACUCCUUGUUAAAAAAAUCACAAUUCUUUCUGACCGCCAUUGCAGUAGUAGCCUUUGUAGUUUCUGAUUUGCAAGAAAGAGAUGAAGAGCAGAAUCGAUCCCAUUAGGCGUGCCAAAUUUGUUCGCAACAAAUUUUCGUAGUCGCUAAAAAUUAACUGCAAGCAAAAUAAAUAAAAGAAAAACUGUGAUUUUUAUUAAUGAAUCGUUGUGAGUUUUUAUACGAAGAAUAAAAAUAUUUUAAUUAUAAGUUUUUUACUUUUUAGAGUCCUCACUUAAUUUUGAGAAAACUAAGAAAACUAUUUUUUCAUUUAAUAAAAAUAGGAAAUCAAAUGAAAGAUUUUUAGGGGGGGUUCUGAAAUUCUUAUUAACGUUUUAGGAAGAUUUUGAAAGCAUCUAAGAUGUCCUCUUACUUGCAUUUAUCCAAACAACUAAUCUAUUUGGCUAAAAUAAUCUAACUUGUAAAAAUUACCUAGAGUUCGUUUUAAAAAAAGAGGUAUUAACUAUUUGUGUGAGGUUUAUUGUUUGCAAAGCUAUUCAUCUUUUAGAAUUCAUUAGGAAUUAAUUUUUAAGUAGAUAAAACAUUUACGGAGUUCGCGGGAAUUUGAAUUCUUUAACUUUAAAACUAAUGACAAGUAAAGCAGAUUAAAAAAAAAUAAAAGAGAGAGAGAGAGAGUUGGGUCCAAAUCUGGAUUUUUUGUCCGCCUGAAUCGGUAUUUGGACCCUUUGUUUGUGGGCCUUAGGCCCACUCUACUUGUACCUGUCCUAAAAUGAUCAGAUAAUAGUACAAAGCGGCAAGGGCUUAGGCCCAUGACAUAAUAAAAAUACAACAUACGAAAAUAAAGGGGUCUUCUAAUCUAACUUCUUCGACUUUCUUCAAUUCCUUAAACUUCGGGACCUGUCCGUCGAUUUAAUGACUAGUUGACUCGGAAGAGCACAAGUGGGUCCUCCAUGGUCCAAAUGAAAAUGUGAGGAUGGGGUCCAUAAGACCCAGACAAAUUUAACAUAAAGAAGAGAAAACAAGAGUAAAAUUAGUAUAGGCCCACAUAAUAAAAUCAAGAGAAAAUUGUAUAUAAUAGCAAACUAAUAACCUAAAAUAAAUGGAGUAGCUAGGAUUUGAGUUAAUUGUGCUCCAUAGCAAACGUUUGCAAAAAAUUGUUAGGCGCCUCUCUCCCAAAUAUCUCGCUCGCCACUCUCCUCCAAUCUCUCGCUCGCCUCCUCACCUUUUAUACAACAAGUGUAUAAAAAUUGUCACUAAUUGUAUAUAUCAUAGAAAAUUGUAUAAAUACAUAUAUUUUUGUUCCCCUCUCUCCCUUCUUCCAGAUCUCGCUUGACACUCUCCCAAAUCUCGUUAGCAGCCCUCGCCUUUCUCACUUAUACAAACAAAAGGGAAAUGUAUAAAUUGCGUUUUUGUUUGUAUAAAGCGUAAGACAAUUGUAUAUACACAUGCAAGUACAUAUAUUUUCGUCCUAUACACUUAUAAUUAUACAAUUAAAAUACUCCCCUGCGCGAUUUCUUUUAAAUUAUAUCUAAUUUCUCUCUUUCUCAUUUAUACAAUUCGAUUCAAUUGUAUAUUUCUUGUCAAGUUUCUUUUGUCUCUCUCUUUCUCAUUUUAUACAAAUUUAAAUUGUAUAUAAUGGUUUUAUACAAUUCGUUUUAUACACUUCAUUUUUAUACAGUUCUCUGUCCAAGUGUCUUUCUCUUUCUUGUUUUAUGCACUUCGUUUUAUACAAUAUGCUUCAACUGUAUAUGUAUAGCGAAUUAUAUAGUUUCUACGUUUGCUAUAGAGCGCAAUUAUAUAAAAUUUGUUAUAGCAUACAAGUAUAAAUUUUUUAUUUGCUAUACGUGAAAGUUGUCCUAAAAUCAAAAGCAUGUAAAGAAUGAAACCUAUCUUAUCCUUAAAACCCAAGGAUUUACGGGAAAAGGGGAAUGCUGUCAAUUUAAUAUAUUUAAAACCGGAGUAAAAAAAAUUGAUCUCUUAUCUUUGUCCCUUUUGAAAUCUAUUCUGGGAGACACGAAUAUUCAAGAUAUUAAUCAUUUACUAGUAGAUUUUUAGAGUAAACACUCCAUAAAUAUGAUUAGUAACAUGCUCUACUUUUAUUUUAUUUUAUUUAUUUAUUUUUUCUAAUUAUUAUUUUAAUUCUUUUUAGUAAGACCCGUCAUAAGCAGUAGAUGACUAGCCUUACAGUGACAUAAUUAGUUAUAAAUCAAUUUCCAAAAAUUGGUGGCAAACAUUAUUCUAUAUAUGGAAGAACAGGCAAACUAAAGUCAAACAAGAAAACCUAUGUGUCAUGUAUAAACUUGGUAGGUUAAAAGCAACUUGUUGAUACUAAAUGCAUAAUUAACAAGUCCUAAAUACUAUCACAAAAUGAAAUAAUAGAGGCUCCACUUAAAUGCUUAAACUAGUACAUCAUUUUAGCACUGUAAUAAGAAAUUAUUGCAUACUAUAGGAAAGAAAACCAGACAUGUGAACAUAGUUAUCUUUUUGGGAUUAUCCAAUAUUUCACAUCCAAUUGAUGCUAAAUAUUUUGAAACUAAACAUCAAAGCCGACAUAUAAAGAUAUGAGACAUAAUAGAAGUUUACGACUUAUUAGGCUAUUAUGAGGGAACCGAAGAAAAUUUAAAAAAAAAAAAAAAAAAAAAAACGAGAAUGACUAACAACUAGCUCAUUCCAGAAAAAUGAACGAAUGACAAUUACCCUCUACGAUUUUGUAACUAUACGAAUCACUUUACGAGUAGUAGCAAACAGUGAUGAGGUUGAUGCUUGAAAACAAUGUGUAGCAAAUGAGUCCUAAUUCAGCAAAUAGACUCUUACAUACCCAUAUUCCCAGCUAAAGCUUAAAGCGAAUUGCGUGUAACAUGAUGAACGCCUAGAGAUAUAAACAGGUACAAUUACAAAUCCGACUGCUCAAACUUGAACCAAAACAGACUUCCAACUAAGAACAAGUUAAAAUAGAGAAGACAACAAGAAGAUGUUCAAAAAGCCAACAAAUUGUUUUUCAUACGAUGUUUGGAAUUUAAACAAGACAUAAAUAAAGAAAGGAAGUGAUACCUUCUUCAGGGAAGCAAGACCGGGACUGGGCGAGCAGGAGUCAAACUUUACCACGAGAAGACUUGCACGCGAACAAUAAGCGAAGAUUUCGACGGAAGUUUGAACUUAAACCCUAAAAUAGUUUCUUCUAUGUUCACAAAGUAUACUUAAGUGUAUUCUAAAUUAUUUCUCUCAAGCUUUCUUUGCAUUAGUGAAAAUUUCCUACUAGAAUUUUCCCCCAAACAAAAUCCCCCUCCUUUGUGUGAAGAAAAAGAGAAUAUAUAUGCCCAGAAUUAGGGUUCUCCAAAGGGGGGAAACGAAUUCAAAAUAUGAAAAGAGAAAAACUCACUAUUAAGGGAAUCACUCUUUUCUUUUAAGAAUUUGACUCAUUCCAGAAGAGCAAAGGGGGUGGGCGGCUAGGAUCGAUUGCUUAUCCUUGGGGUGCUAGGUGGUGUGAUCUCCCGUUGCCAAGGGCGGAGCCGCGUGACUUGCUCGAUAGAAAAAUGCAGGUGCCCUUCUGUACGCACAAAAGGCGACGCUGGUCGUGAGUCAUGCGCCAAAGGAUGUGAACGUCUUCAUCGCGCACUUAAUCGUUUGAAAUCAUUGGAAUCACGGAUGGAGUUUCCGCGUUGAUGCCCACGCACUUGUCGUCGUCCGCUCCAUGUAUAUUCGUUGAAGUCUCUGUUGCACAGGAGAUUAUGGAUUUCUUUGUAGUUUGUUGAAGAUGAGAAAGGGUAUUUGGUCCGGAUAUUGGGAUAAGGUGGGUCAGGUAAAUUUAGAUGGCUGGGAUGAUUUUGGGGCUGGGAAUUAAAGGGAAUUACGGGG
RNAcentral lists this long non-coding RNA (3955 nucleotides) under Solanum lycopersicum (tomato). RNAcentral's name for it is "long non-coding RNA (SLYC_LNC000762)". The record is from RNAcentral. Lineage: Eukaryota; Viridiplantae; Streptophyta; Magnoliopsida; Solanales; Solanaceae.